Molecule: ribosomal RNA, 369 nt
Filed under: Escherichia coli
Lineage: Bacteria; Pseudomonadati; Pseudomonadota; Gammaproteobacteria; Enterobacterales; Enterobacteriaceae
Description: partial 23S ribosomal RNA
Rfam family: Bacterial large subunit ribosomal RNA
Source: RNAcentral
AAUGGGUCAGCGACUUAUAUUCUGUAGCAAGGUUAACCGAAUAGGGGAGCCGAAGGGAAACCGAGUCUUAACUGGGCGUUAAGUUGCAGGGUAUAGACCCGAAACCCGGUGAUCUAGCCAUGGGCAGGUUGAAGGUUGGGUAACACUAACUGGAGGACCGAACCGACUAAUGUUGAAAAAUUAGCGGAUGACUUGUGGCUGGGGGUGAAAGGCCAAUCAAACCGGGAGAUAGCUGGUUCUCCCCGAAAGCUAUUUAGGUAGCGCCUCGUGAAUUCAUCUCCGGGGGUAGAGCACUGUUUCGGCAAGGGGGUCAUCCCGACUUACCAACCCGAUGCAAACUGCGAAUACCGGAGAAUGUUAUCACGGGAG